This 836-nucleotide small RNA is filed under the name Rattus norvegicus (Norway rat). RNAcentral's name for it is "uncharacterized LOC102553197". The record is from RNAcentral. Lineage: Eukaryota; Metazoa; Chordata; Mammalia; Rodentia; Muridae.
AAAUAUUCAAUGAAACUCCACACUUCAGUGUUGACGCCUGGCUCCAUCAGAUCGUGGAUUCUCCUUUAUUCCCAUCAAUGGACAUAUAGAAGCCCAGCAUAAACAGAUGUGAAGAGGAAGGUUUUAAUACCAUAAGUACAGCAAUAUGCAGAAAUGCACAGACUUCAGUGGAAGUACAGACGAGGGAAGCAGAUCUACUCUGAGAGGCACAGCCUGCUUCUACUGAAGGAGAGUUUUCCAGGAAUGUGCAAGACAACAUUUAAAUGUUAAAUUAAAUCUUAAAUGUUAAUUACUCAGCAGUCAAGAGGAGGGCUGUCUGUGAUGCAGAUUCCUUGUGUGCUUGAGAAAAGACUUUAAGCUUCCAGGUCCCAAGAGCCUAUUUACUCCCCAGGGACUGAUGCUUCAGUGCGCCCUGCAUCACAGCAGCAUAGGAAGUGCUGUGAAGUACAUCUUCGUAUGCCCUGUUUACACACCUACACUAAACUGCCUUUGAGAAAUAAGUGCUUAGAUCACAGGAUCCAUGUCCACACCAAGUCCUGUUUGCGCAGGAUUCAGUCUUUAGUCUUGAAGGAUGAGCUAUGCCUCUGCAGUUCUGCAGAGGACGCCGUGGAAGCUUGAGGUUGCACACCGGUACAACUGGAACUGUGGCCCAUCGCUCCUGGUCCUCCAGCUUCACUGCCAAGUGCUACUGAAUAAUGUCACGGCACUGGCAGAUAACCUCAACAGGGAAGAGUAAAUGAACAGCACAGUUUGCCUGACCUCACGGCUGAAUCUGGAGCUCACAGUGCAAGAACGAAAAUGCUGAGUUCAUAUAUAAAGAUGUUGGAAAUUUAUAA